RNAcentral lists this ribosomal RNA (207 nucleotides) under uncultured bacterium. RNAcentral's name for it is "partial 16S ribosomal RNA". It matches the Rfam family "Bacterial small subunit ribosomal RNA", at positions 568 to 774 of the family's 1533-position model. The record is from RNAcentral.
CGCGUAGGCGGUUUGUUAAGUCGGAUGUGAAAGCCCCGGGCUCAACCUGGGAACUGCAUUCGAUACUGGCCGACUAGAGUACGAGAGAGGGAGGUAGAAUUCCACGUGUAGCGGUGAAAUGCGUAGAUAUGUGGAGGAAUACCGGUGGCGAAGGCGGCCUCCUGGCUCGAUACUGACGCUGAGGUGCGAAAGCGUGGGGAGCAAACA